CGUGCGCGCAGCCGCGGCGCGUCCGGCCCCCGCCACGGGCCCCGCGGACCUGCGCCGGCUUCUAAGUAUUUCUUGCUGUCACCAGACCCUCGGCAGCCGGCGGAAAGCAAAGGAAAAGUAAAGGAACUGUAGAGAAAUAACACAGACCUUUCCGCAUUCUGCCGCCUAAAACCGCCUCUCGAUGCCCGAGCGUUCUCUCGGGGUCACCGCCGGGCCCGUUUCUGAAGUUCCCACAGAAGUCUGAGAUGGUGGCCAGUAAUUUCUCCUUGAAGCCUAACACACCUUACCCAGUGACUAGAGAUAACUGUUGUGAACAGUUUAGUGUUGAAUCAAAGGACCUAGUGCUUCUUUCUUGAACAUGACAGAAAAAAAAAAAAAAAAAUUCCAAAGAACAUGGCCCAAAGGAAAACGGACCACAAAAUUUAAGGAGUCUCAGCUUGCUGGGUUAUGAGAUCCUUCUUUGGGGCGGCCCACUUAUGCCUUGGUCUUGACUUCUGCUAUCUGCGUUGGAAGAAAAGCCUAAGACAGGUAAUAUUUGCUUGUCACAUGGAAUCUAGGACUCAGUGGCAGUCGCCAGGCAAGUGACCGUUCCAUCCGCUGGAUAAGGCGUUAACAGGCUCUACCUAGGCGCCACACGUGUCCGUCCGGUUGCUGUCACAGUUAAGCCUCAGCCAACACGAACGUCUUUAGGUUAAAUGAACUUACCACAUCAUUAGUAUGUAGAGCCUUGGGGAACAGAACAGGCAUGCGUUAAGGAGGA
This is a long non-coding RNA of Leopardus geoffroyi (Geoffroy's cat), 760 nucleotides long. RefSeq lists it as uncharacterized. The transcript has 3 exons. NCBI's taxonomy places the organism in Eukaryota, Metazoa, Chordata, Mammalia, Carnivora, Felidae. The record is from RefSeq and is a predicted model, not a curated record.